UAUUCUUGGCAAUUAUGUGUGUCAUUGGUCCAUUGCAAGAACUGAGCAUAGAAUCCCUUCUUCCUCUGGUCCUUCCAAGUCGAAGCUGAAGGAGUGCUUUUGGCCUGCGGUCCUCUUCAUCCAUCUUCACAGACAAGCUAGUAGCCAAGAAAUCUCAGCUCCUCUUGCAUCCUUACGUUGAAGCCACUCCUGGUAUGUGUUAUCAGUGCUUGUUUCACUUUCGCCCUCUUUGUUCAGUUAUCUGGUUCUAUUGAUUAAACCCAAUAAACCUAAAAAAGGGAAGAGGAAACAAAAAUGGGUAAAAGAACCUGCAACUAAUCAAACCCUAAUAAACAUAAGGCAUCCGUUUUUGUUUUUUUUUUUAAAGGUGGUUUUGUGAAAAUCUUUAAUUAAGGGCCCUACCUUAAGUUCAUAUAUCUAUAGAUAAGAUUUGGUUGAUGGACGACUUCGCUCUUAAUUCAUUAAAAUUCCAUCUGCUUUAUUUGAAGAAAUUAUUGCUUCGGCUCUUACAAUUAUGUUUUAUCUUAUACGAAUCAUAGCUUAGAAAAAGAAAUAUUAGACUCUUUCCACAAAUGGUAAGUGAGAAAGGGGAAUCUUAUGUCAAGCUCAUGCGAAUUAAUGCUUAUUAAUCAAAACACGUCCUUCUUACAUGGGAAGGGUUUGAGGAAAUUGUGUUAGAGAACGAUAUCUUUUGGUUGAGUUAAAGAAAAUAAUUCGAGGCAUGCUAUUCAACAUCUUGCCAAAAUUGCCACUACAAGCGAUGGCUACGGGUCUCUCUAGAAAAGUAUCGUUUUUUUUUUUUAGACAAAGACCUAAGUGUUGAUUAAAUUGUCUUUUAACAAAAACCAAUCAUUUGAGAACGUCUAUUAGCAUGAGACCAUAUUUCUUCUUGUCGCUGAAAGGUUGAUCAUAGCAUUAAUUGGUAGUCUCCUCAUGAUAUCCAAUUUGCCAACCCACAAGCUCCAAUUGCAACAAUACGGUGAUAUUUUUUGCUUGAUUAUGCCUCAAAACUUCUUUUUGAGGAAAGCUUUCUCCCAUCUAACGAGUGCUGGUGUCGCAGCUAUUGUUGAAGCGUUUUGUGAAAUCAUGGUUUUUUCCACAUUCAAUCCUGAAUAGAUUAUGCAGUAAAUUUGUUCAACCUUUAGGAACCUUUAACUCGAAUUUUCCUUUUUCUUCUUCCUAUAAAAAUGUUUAUAAAAACUAUUUGAUAAGUCUCGAUGUGCAUCUUUAUGAUUUACGUGCGUUUAUGUGAAUUAAUUGGCUUUAAAAAGUUCAGCUACUCCAUGCUUUCAUUUAAUAAAAGAAAAAAAUAUUUCAUAAGGAAAAAUCAACUAUUUCAUUUUCUUUUAUUUAGGACAAGAAGGUUCCUAACAUGAAAAUUCCUAGUUUGUAAAAUAAUGUACACACAUAUGUAUGUAUAUCAAAAAGACAAAAAUGACCAAACUCUCAAAUGUCCACAAAAAAAUGUACUUACUCUUA
Molecule: long non-coding RNA, 1479 nt
Organism: Eucalyptus grandis
Lineage: Eukaryota; Viridiplantae; Streptophyta; Magnoliopsida; Myrtales; Myrtaceae
Exons: 2
Source: RefSeq, a predicted model, not a curated record